CUUAGCACAAAGCAGCUCGGCUCGACCUUGUUUCAACUAAUCCCUUCUCUGUAUUUAACAAGAGGAACUGGAAGAGUCAGACAGUGUGUGGGAAGACUGAAGAAAAUAAGGAAGGGCAGGUCUCGAUGGCAGAAAGAUGGACACUUCUCAGGUCUAGUUGUUGCAUGGUGUGUUCCUGACCACAGCUGUACCCAAGGAGUCUCACAGAUUCCUCAGGAGGCAACAGGACGUUUAUCAACGAAGAUGUGAGAAACCCAUGCCGGGCCUUUGACGCUCAUCCUGACUCCUGACUGAUGAAUUAUUUGGUCGACUGAGGCAGAAUCACCUUUACUGGAGCAUAAUCUGUUGGAGGCAGCAUCUCCUGAAGUCUCCAUGAGUUGCUGGAAUGAAGAAAUGUGUCAUAUGUGAACCAAAACACAUGUAAAAAUUGUUGACAAUAGCACCAUUUGUAAAAGACUAAAACUGGAAACCACCAAAUGAUCAGCAACAGAGAAUAAAAAAUUAUGGCUUAUUUCUACAAUGGAUUGCUAUGCUGCAGUAAGAAUGAAUGAACAGCAGCUACACACAACCGGUAUGGAUGAAUCUCAUGAACACAAUGUGAAGGGAAAGAAGGCAGAAACAUACUUAUCACACCCUCCAUUUAUAUAAAACUCAGAGACAAAACAAAUUUAUGGUGUUAGGAGUCAGGUUCCUUUGGGGAAGAGAGAGGGAGUAGUACCUGAAUGGAGGGGGCAUGGAGGGGGCUUCGGGCAUGCUGGUAAGAUUUUUGUUUUGUUUUUAAUCUGAGUGAUAUAGGUGGUAGUUACUUUUUGAUGUUACAUCGAGCUGUACACUUAUGAUCUGUUCA
This 847-nucleotide long non-coding RNA is filed under the name Homo sapiens (human). RNAcentral describes it as "HSALNT0110950". The record is from RNAcentral. Lineage: Eukaryota; Metazoa; Chordata; Mammalia; Primates; Hominidae.